GCAGAAGUAGCAUAGUGGCAAAUGCACUUGGUUUACACCCAAGUUAUCGCAAGUUCGAGUCUUGUCUUCUGCA
RNAcentral lists this transfer RNA (73 nucleotides) under marine sediment metagenome. RNAcentral describes it as "tRNA-Val". It matches the Rfam family "tRNA". From Rfam's summary of the family: Transfer RNA (tRNA) molecules are approximately 80 nucleotides in length. Their secondary structure includes four short double-helical elements and three loops (D, anti-codon, and T loops). The record is from RNAcentral.